Molecule: ribosomal RNA, 320 nt
Filed under: uncultured eukaryote
Lineage: Eukaryota
Description: partial 18S ribosomal RNA
Rfam family: Eukaryotic small subunit ribosomal RNA
Source: RNAcentral
CCCCUAGAUGUUCUGGGCCGCACGCGCGCUACACUGAACAGUUCAACAAGUCUUAACCUUGGCCGAUAGGUCUGGGUAAUCUUUGAACGCUGUUCGUGAUUGGGAUAGACCUUUGCAAUUAUGGGUCUUCAACGAGGAAUUCCUGGUAAACGCAAGUCAUCAGCUUGCAUUGAUUGCGUCCCUGCCCUUUGUACACGCCGCCCGUCGCACCUACCGAUUGAAUGGUCCGGUGAAAUCUCGGGACGGCGGCUUGGUCGCUUGCGUCCGACUGCUGAAACUUGAUUAAACCAUAUCAUUUAGAGGAAGGUGAAGUCGUANCG